RNAcentral lists this ribosomal RNA (495 nucleotides) under uncultured bacterium. RNAcentral describes it as "partial 16S ribosomal RNA". It matches the Rfam family "Bacterial small subunit ribosomal RNA", at positions 28 to 507 of the family's 1533-position model. The record is from RNAcentral.
GAUGAACGCUGGCGGCGUGCCUAAUACAUGCAAGUAGAACGCUGAAGGAGGAGCUUGCUCUUCUGGAUGAGUUGCGAACGGGUGAGUAACGCGUAGGUAACCUGCCUGGUAGCGGGGGAUAACUAUUGGAAACGAUAGCUAAUACCGCAUGACAACAGUUAUUGCAUGAUAACUGUUUAAAAGGGGCAACUGCUCCACUACCAGAUGGACCUGCGUUGUAUUAGCUAGUUGGUGAGGUAACGGCUCACCAAGGCGACGAUACAUAGCCGACCUGAGAGGGGGAUCGGCCACACUGGGACUGGGACACGGCCCAGACUCCUACGGGAGGCAGCAGUAGGGAAUCUUCGGCAAUGGACGGAAGUCUGACCGAGCAACGCCGCGUGAGUGAAGAAGGUUUUCGGAUCGUAAAGCUCUGUUGUAAGAGAAGAACGAGUGUGAGAGUGGAAAGUUCACACUGUGACGGUAUCUUACCAGAAAGGGACGGCUAACUACGUG